GUGUCAGCCGCCGCGGUAAUACAGAGGUGCCAAGCGUUGUUCGGAUUUAUUGGGCGUAAAGGGUGCGUAGGUGGUGAUGCAAGUCGGGUGUGAAAUCCCGGAGCCUAACUCCGGAAUGGCAUUCGAAACUGCAUCGCUCGAGGUCUGGAGAGGUGACUGGAAUUCUCGGUGUAGCAGUGAAAUGCGUAGAUAUCGAGAGGAACACCAGAGGCGAAAGCGAGUCACUGGACAGAACCUGACACUGAGGCACGAAAGCCAGGGGAGCAAACGGGAUUAGAAACCCCGGUAGUCC
This 292-nucleotide ribosomal RNA is filed under the name uncultured bacterium. RNAcentral's name for it is "partial 16S ribosomal RNA". It matches the Rfam family "Bacterial small subunit ribosomal RNA", at positions 505 to 796 of the family's 1533-position model. The record is from RNAcentral.